Molecule: ribosomal RNA, 910 nt
Filed under: uncultured rumen protozoa
Lineage: Eukaryota
Description: bacterial SSU rRNA
Rfam family: Eukaryotic small subunit ribosomal RNA
Source: RNAcentral
AUAUGCUGUGAUGUCAGGUACCGAACUCCCUUGUGCGGUUGAAUGGUCAGACGCUUCCCGAGAAUCUUGCGAUACGAAGUAUGAUCUGUAUCAAUCGUAAGAGACGGUGGCAAUAGAUAAAUGCAGGUAUCGAUGUAAGCUACGACGAGCAUGCAGAGUUUUAUCAGCGAAGUAGGAUCAAAGCAAUCAGACGUCGUAGUCAUCUAUAACUAGCGACUAGAUGAGUGGCUCAACACAUCAGUACUAUGAGAAAUCAAAGUUUGUCGGGGGAGAUUGUCGCAAGACUGAACCUGAAAGAGAGUGGACGGAGGCACCCACCAGAGGUGGAGCCUGCGCUAAUUGAACUCAACACACAGAGGAAACUACCAGUCCGCUGUAAGUGCUGGUUGGUGUGCGUGGGUCUUGCUACUUGGGUGUGGUGCAUGCCGUCCUAGUGGUGGAGUGAUUGUCUGGUUAAUUCCGAUAACGAACGAGACCUUAACCUGCUAACUAGAUCGAUCAACUUUGGUCGUAUCUCAUAAAGAAGUAACAUAAAUACAUGGAAGUUGAGGCAAUAACAGGUCAGUGAUGCCCUUAUAUGUCCUGGGCUGCACGCGUGCUACACUGAUGUAUACAACAAGUGCCUAGCCAGACAUGGCAUGGCAAUCUCGAAUAUGCAUCGUGAUGGGGAUAGAUCUUUGCAAUUAUAGAUCUUGAACGAGGAAUUCCUAGUAAGUGCAAGUCAUCAUGGUGAGAAAGAAUUAUGUCCUGCCCUUGUACACACCGCCCGUCGCUCCUACCGAUACCGGGUGAUCCGGUGAACCAGGUGGACCCUGUUGGAAAAUAAGUAAAUCAAUCACCGAGAGGAGAGGAGACGCUUGACAAGUAAUCUAGAUGCACUCGCGAGUACGAGCUCGAUCACUGCGUGCCU